This is a long non-coding RNA of Magnolia sinica, 665 nucleotides long. RefSeq lists it as uncharacterized. The transcript has 3 exons. Lineage: Eukaryota; Viridiplantae; Streptophyta; Magnoliopsida; Magnoliales; Magnoliaceae. The record is from RefSeq and is a predicted model, not a curated record.
UUACCCUAUAGAAAUUUGAUACCCGAUCUGUUUUUCAUCACCGAAUCCCCCAGUGGCUGGUGAGUCUUAUUAGUAAACACCUUCUUAACAAGUGCUGGGAUUCGGUGUCUAGGCCAAAAUGGGUAUGAUGGACGAGUUCGAAGCUUCUUUGCAAGUCUAUGGGGAUUUGAUACUGACAUUUCUUUUGAAGUGAAUGAAAUCAAGAGAUUUGUAACUUCCACAAGCAAGAGAACAGCCAUCUGAUUUUCUGAUCUCAAGCAAAGAAGAUAUUGGUUUCCUCUAAUGGUAGGAAUUGGGUUACUAGUAUUGCAGCAGCUAAGUGGAGUCAAUGGCAUCCUAUUUUAUGCGAGCAAUAUUUUCAAAGCUGUUGGUAGGUUUAGUUAUCAAUAUUUUCACCAGUAUUGAGCUUUUUUUUCCAGUUGAAUGUGGACAGUUGCUGUUUUUACCUUCUUAGCUAUCUUUUUGUAGGCUACUAAAUUCCAUCUGGUCCAUCCCAAGCCUGGGUAGAGGGUUGAUGUCAGGUUUGUUGAUGGGCAUUGAACCUUUGCCAAGCAAUCAUAAAAAAGAUCCCAAAUAGCUGGGACAAGGCUAUAAUGAUAAUGAUGACAAUAUACCAUCUAAUUGAGUCCAGAUUUGAAAUAACAGGAUUCUCCUAUCAAGGAGAU